UACGUAGGUGGCGAGCGUUGUCCGGAUUUACUGGGCGUAAAGGGAGCGUAGGCGGACUUUUAAGUGAGAUGUGAAAUACCCGGGCUCAACUUGGGUGCUGCAUUUCAAACUGGAAGUCUAGAGUGCAGGAGAGGAGAAUGGAAUUCCUAGUGUAGCGGUGAAAUGCGUAGAGAUUAGGAAGAACACCAGUGGCGAAGGCGAUUCUCUGGACUGUAACUGACGCUGAGGCACGAAAGCGUGGGGAGCAAACAGGAUUAGAUACCCCGGUA
RNAcentral lists this ribosomal RNA (269 nucleotides) under uncultured prokaryote. RNAcentral describes it as "partial 16S ribosomal RNA". It matches the Rfam family "Bacterial small subunit ribosomal RNA", at positions 524 to 792 of the family's 1533-position model. The record is from RNAcentral.